UGCUCCAGUUGACCGCAUGGUCCUCUGGGAAAGAUUCAUCGGUAUGGGAUGGGGUCGCGUCCUAUCAGCUUGAUGGCGGGGUAACGGCCCACCAUGGCUUCGACGGGUAGCCGGCCUGAGAGGGCGACCGGCCACAUUGGGACUGAGAUACGGCCCAGACUCCUACGGGAGGCAGCAGUGGGGAAUAUUGCACAAUGGGCGCAAGCCUGAUGCAGCGACGCCGCGUGAGGGAUGGAGGCCUUCGGGUUGUAAACCUCUUUUAUCGGGGAGCAAGCGAGAGUGAGUUUACCCGUUGAAUAAGCACCGGCUAACUACGUGCCAGCAGCCGCGGUAAUACGUAGGGUGCAAGCGUUAUCCGGAAUUAUUGGGCGUAAAGGGCUCGUAGGCGGUUCGUCGCGUCCGGUGUGAAAGUCCAUCGCUUAACGGUGGAUCCGCGCCGGGUACGGGCGGGCUUGAGUGCGGUAGGGGAGACUGGAAUUCCCGGUGUAACGGUGGAAUGUGUAGAUAUCGGGAAGAACACCAAUGGCGAAGGCAGGUCUCUGGGCCGUUACUGACGCUGAGGAGCGAAAGCGUGGGGAGCGAACAGGAUUAGAUACCCUGGUAGUCCACGCCGUAAACGGUGGAUGCUGGAUGUGGGGCCCGUUCCACGGGUUCCGUGCCGUAGCUAACGCUUUAAGUACCCCGCCUGGGGAGUACGGCCGCAAGGCUAAAACUCAAAGGAAUUGACGGGGCCCCGCACAAGCGGCGGAGCAUGCGGAUUAAUUCGAUGCAACGCGUAGAACCUUACCUGGGUUUGACAUGGAUCGGGAGUGCUCAGAGAUGGGUGUGCCUCUUUUGGGGUCGGUUCACAGGUGGUGCAUGGCUGUCGUCAGCUCGUGUCGUGAGAUGUUGGGUUAAGUCCCGCAACGAGCGCAACCCUCGCCCUGUGUUGCCAGCACGUCGUGGUGGGAACUCACGGGGGACCGCCGGGGUCAACUCGGAGGAAGGUGGGGAUGACGUCAGAUCAUCAUGCCCCUUACGUCCAGGGCUUCACGCAUGCUACAAUGGCCGGUACAACGGGAUGCGACACCGCGAGGUGGAGCGGAUCCCUUAAAACCGGUCUCAGUUCGGAUUGGAGUCUGCAACCCGACUCCAUGAAGGCGGAGUCGCUAGUAAUCGCGGAUCAGCAACGC
Molecule: ribosomal RNA, 1172 nt
Filed under: uncultured Bifidobacterium sp.
Lineage: Bacteria; Bacillati; Actinomycetota; Actinomycetes; Bifidobacteriales; Bifidobacteriaceae
Description: bacterial SSU rRNA
Rfam family: Bacterial small subunit ribosomal RNA
Source: RNAcentral